Molecule: transfer-messenger RNA, 367 nt
Filed under: uncultured Salinibacter sp.
Lineage: Bacteria; Pseudomonadati; Rhodothermota; Rhodothermia; Rhodothermales; Salinibacteraceae
Rfam family: transfer-messenger RNA
About the family: Bacterial tmRNA, also known as 10Sa RNA or SsrA, is named for its dual tRNA and mRNA-like properties. Its role is to liberate the mRNA from a stalled ribosome.
Source: RNAcentral
GGGGAUGACACGGCUUCGACGCGUAGUAACGUGAAGCGGACUGUCCCGCCGAGCCUCCUGGUUUGCUCGUAAAUCCCAUCAGGAACUCGCAACUGCGGACGAUUAUUCGUACGCGAUGGCGGCGUAACAGCCCCCAUCUGUCUCACGUCGCUCCUGACCCUUGGGGAGCGUGAGACAUCGACAAAAAGGGUGUAGUCGUCCUGUUCUCCGGCUGCGGAUGAGACGGCGAAUGCCAAUCAGCCUUUGCGGUGCCCUGGCCUCGUGGACGGGCAGACGGGCAGCGUAAGCCUUCAAUGCAUCCACUAUGCGGGUAGAGGUUCGACCUGCACGGCUACGCGGACCCGGGUUCGACUCCCGGCAUCUCCAC